AUUGAACGAUGGCGGCAGGCCUAACACAUGCAAGUCGAGCGGAGCGGAGGACGGGUGAGUAAUGCCUAGGAAUCUGCCUGGUAGUGGGGGAUAACGUACGGAAACGGGCGCUAAUACCGCAUACUAUCAGAUGAGCCCAGAGGGGAUUAACUAGUAGGUGGGGUAACGGCUCACCUAGGCGACGAUCCCUAGCUGGUCUGAGAGGAUGACCAGCCACACUGGAACUUGGACACGGUCCAGACUCCUACGGGAGGCAGCAUUGGGGAAUAUUGCACAAUGGGCGCAAGCCUGAUGCGGCCAUGCCGCGUGUGUGAAGAAGGCCUUCGGUUUGUAAAGCACUUUCAGCGGGGAGGCGUUACCCGCAGAAGAAGCACCGGCUGACUCCGUGCCAGCCGCCGCAGUAAUAC
This 407-nucleotide ribosomal RNA is filed under the name uncultured bacterium. RNAcentral's name for it is "partial 16S ribosomal RNA". It matches the Rfam family "Bacterial small subunit ribosomal RNA", at positions 30 to 526 of the family's 1533-position model. The record is from RNAcentral.